RNAcentral lists this unclassified non-coding RNA (358 nucleotides) under soil metagenome. Its description in RNAcentral is "partial contains 5.8S ribosomal RNA, internal transcribed spacer 2, and large subunit ribosomal RNA". The stretch from base 1 to 120 matches the Rfam family "5.8S ribosomal RNA", at positions 35 to 154 of the family's 154-position model. The record is from RNAcentral.
GAUGAAGAACGCAGCGAAAUGCGAUAAGUAAUGUGUAUUGCAGAAUUCAGUGAAUCAUCGAAUCUUUGAACGCACAUUGCGCCCGUCAGUAUUCUGGCGGGCAUGCCUGUUCGAGCGUCAUUACGCCCCUCAAGUCCCCUGUGGACUUGGUGUUGGGGAUCGGCGAGGCUGGUUUUCCAGCACAGCCGUCCCUUAAAUUAAUUGGCGGUCUCGCCGUGGCCCUCCUCUGCGCAGUAGUAAAACACUCGCAACAGGAGCCCGGCGCGGUCCACUGCCGUAAAACCCCCCAACUUUUUAUAGUUGACCUCGAAUCAGGUAGGACUACCCGCUGAACUUAAGCAUAUCAAUAAGCGGAGGA